This 387-nucleotide ribosomal RNA is filed under the name Triticum aestivum (bread wheat). RNAcentral's name for it is "partial small subunit ribosomal RNA". Lineage: Eukaryota; Viridiplantae; Streptophyta; Magnoliopsida; Poales; Poaceae. The record is from RNAcentral.
AUGCAUUUAGACCAAUCUUUGCAAAACUGUACCCCAAAAGCGGUGGCCAAAGUUCUUACAAACAGGGUCAAACCACUCAUCCCUCUACUCAUUCACUACGACCAAACAGGAUUUCUUCAUGGCCGCAACAUUGCAGAAAAUUUUAUUUACGCUGCUGAUAUUCUCAGCGCUUGCCACACAAGGAAGGCCCCCACCAUGGUCAUCAAGCUGGACUUCAGAAAAGCUUUUGACUCCAUUUCUUGGUCCUCUCUAACAUCGAUCCUACAAGCGAGAGGUUUCCCUCCUAUCUUCUGUGCAUGGGUCCAAAACAUUCUCCACACUGGCAAAACGGCUAUUCUCCUCAACGGCACUCCGGGAUCCUGGAUCCAAUGUAGAGCUGGCCUUUGA